Molecule: transfer RNA, 106 nt
Organism: Beauveria bassiana ARSEF 2860
Lineage: Eukaryota; Fungi; Ascomycota; Sordariomycetes; Hypocreales; Cordycipitaceae
Rfam family: tRNA
About the family: Transfer RNA (tRNA) molecules are approximately 80 nucleotides in length. Their secondary structure includes four short double-helical elements and three loops (D, anti-codon, and T loops).
Source: Rfam
GCCCCCAUGGUCUAGUUGGUUAGGGCGCCGGUCUCAUAUCGAUAGAUAUGACUCGUUCAUAGAUCGAGACAUCCGGAUAUCGUGAGUUCGAUCCUCACUGGAGGCA